UUUGGUGGUUAUAGAGCAGGUGAACACCUCUUACCAUUCCGAACAGAGAAGUUAAGCCCUGCCUCGCCGAUGAUACUGCUACGGUGGGAAAGUAGGUCGCUGCCAGAU
This 108-nucleotide ribosomal RNA is filed under the name Candidatus Onthomorpha intestinigallinarum. The record is from RNAcentral. Lineage: Bacteria; Pseudomonadati; Bacteroidota; Bacteroidia; Bacteroidales.